RNAcentral lists this ribosomal RNA (490 nucleotides) under uncultured bacterium. Its description in RNAcentral is "bacterial SSU rRNA". It matches the Rfam family "Bacterial small subunit ribosomal RNA", at positions 29 to 504 of the family's 1533-position model. The record is from RNAcentral.
AACGAACGCUGGCGGCGUGGAUAAGACAUGCAAGUCGAACGGGAACUUCAGCUGUAGCAAUACAGUUGAAGUUUUAGUGGCGAACGGGUGCGUAACACGUGGGCAAUCUGCCGAGAAGUGGGGGAUAGCUCGCCGAAAGGCGAAUUAAUACCGCAUAUGAUCAGCUAAGACAUCUUAGCGACAUCAAAGCCGGGGCAACCUGGCGCUUUUUGAGGAGCCCGCGGCCUAUCAGCUAGUUGGUGAGGUAACGGCUCACCAAGGCUAUGACGGGUAGCUGGUCUGAGAGGAUGGCCAGCCACAUUGGGACUGAGAAACGGCCCAGACUCCUACGGGAGGCAGCAGUGGGGAAUCUUGCGCAAUGGCCUAACGGCUGACGCAGCGACGCCGCGUGAGGGAUGAAGCUCUUCGGAGUGUAAACCUCUGUUGAUCGGGACGAAUGGCGGAUUUUUCCGACUUGACGGUACCGAUUGAGGAAGCACCGGCUAACUCC